RNAcentral lists this small RNA (250 nucleotides) under Vigna angularis var. angularis. RNAcentral describes it as "Non-protein coding transcript". Lineage: Eukaryota; Viridiplantae; Streptophyta; Magnoliopsida; Fabales; Fabaceae. The record is from RNAcentral.
GUUAUAGGUUAUGAACGUGAGAAACACAGUAAAAUUAAAGCAGACAAUUGAUUACAAAAGUUCAUGUAGAAGGCUAGACAUAGAACUAGACAAACUCAUCAGCAGAAGGAAUUUCAGGACAAUAUUGCACAACAUCGGAUAUCAGAGGCCAAAGAAAGCUAUUCGGAUUCGCUGGAGAAGGAAAGAUGAAAUAUCAGAAAGACUAUAAUAAGGAAUCAAUUAAGAAGCUAGAAGAGAAGGUGAUGGAGAA